This 876-nucleotide ribosomal RNA is filed under the name uncultured bacterium. RNAcentral describes it as "bacterial SSU rRNA". It matches the Rfam family "Bacterial small subunit ribosomal RNA", at positions 8 to 879 of the family's 1533-position model. The record is from RNAcentral.
AGAGUUUGAUCAUGGCUCAGAUUGAACGCUGGCGGCAUGCCUAACACAUGCAAGUCGAACGGUAGCAGGCCUUCGGGUGCUGACGAGUGGCGGACGGGUGAGUAAUGCGUAGGAAUCUGUCUUUUAGUAGGGGACAACCCAGGGAAACUUGGGCUAAUACCGCAUGAGCCCUGAGGGGGAAAGCGGGGGAUCUUCGGACCUCGCGCUAAGGGAAGAGCCUACGUCUGAUUAGCUAGUUGGUAGGGUAAAGGCCUACCAAGGCGACGAUCAGUAGCUGGUCUGAGAGGACGACCAGCCACACUGGGACUGAGACACGGCCCAGACUCCUACGGGAGGCAGCAGUGGGGAAUUUUUCGCAAUGGGGGCAACCCUGACGAAGCAAUGCCGCGUGGAUGAAGAAGGCCUUCGGGUUGCAAAGUCCUUUCGUGGGGGACGAAGAGGUGGUUCCUAAUACGAGCUGCUGUUGACGUGAACCCAAGAAGAAGCACCGGCUAACUCCGUGCCAGCAGCCGCGGUAAUACGGGGGGGUGCAAGCGUUAAUCGGAAUCACUGGGCGUAAAGGGUGCGUAGGCGGUACGUUAGGUCUGUCGUGAAAUCCCCGGGCUCAACCUGGGAAUGGGCGGUAGAAACCGGCGCACUAGAGUAUGGGAGAGGGUGGUGGAAUUCCAGGUGUAGCGGUGAAAUGCGUAGAGAUCUGGAGGAACAUCAGUGGCGAAGGCGGCCACCUGGCCCAAUACUGACGCUGAGGCACGAAAGCGUGGGGAGCAAACAGGAUUAGAUACCCUGGUAGUCCACGCCCUAAACGAUGAAUACUAGAUGUUUGGUACCUAGCGUACUGAGUGUCGUAGCUAACGCGAUAAGUAUUCCGCCUGGGAA